Molecule: long non-coding RNA, 931 nt
Organism: Alosa alosa (allis shad)
Lineage: Eukaryota; Metazoa; Chordata; Actinopteri; Clupeiformes; Clupeidae
Exons: 6
Source: RefSeq, a predicted model, not a curated record
GUCAUGAUUGUGAUUGGCUGCUGAGCAAUGUGCCGUUGCUAAGAUCAAGAUGCUGUGCAACAUGGAGUUUAGCGGAGAGCAAACUGGACCUCAUGCACGAGUCCUUCAUAAGUGAUCCAAUCAGCAUCAGGUGAGUGUCAUGAUUGUGAUUGGCUGCUGAGCAAUGUGCCGUUGCUAAGAUCAAGAUGCUGUGCAACAUGAAGUUUAGCGGAGAGCAAACUGGACCUCAUGCACGAGUCCUUCAUAAGUGAUCCAAUCAGCAUCAGGUGGAAUGUAGAGGGUGCAGGUUAAGAAGGACAUGGGAGAGGACCUUGAGUGAGUGUGUGUGUCAGAUCAUGAGGACUCGACCACCAGAAGAUAUUUGUGAGUGUCAUGAUUUUGAUUGGCUGCUGAGCAAUGUGCUGUUGCUAAGAUCAAGAUGCUGUGCAACAUGGAGUUUAGCGGAGAGCAAACUGGACCUAAUGCACGAGUUCUUCAUAAGUGAUCCAAUCAGCAUCAGAUUCUGAGAACUGUGGGGCCCAGACUCGACCAACAGAAGGCCAGGACUGUCACUUCUGAUGACCAAGCUGCAGGAUUAGUUUGAGAACCAAACCAGAAAUUGGAGAUGAGUGUGAAAUGAUUGUGAUUGGCUGCUGUCUCUCCCUGAGCAUAACAGUUCAAGAUCAAGAUGCUGUGCAACAUAGAGUUUAGCGGAGAGCAAACUGGACCUCAUGCACGAGUCCUUCAUAAGUGAUCCAAUCAGCAUCAGGUACCAAUAUCAUGUGUGAACAAGGUUGUGUUGUGCUGCUGAAGCCUGAAGGGAUGAUUUAUGCGACCAUUUGAGCCCUGUUUCUGGGCAGUGACAACUUUCAAUCUGACAUCAGGCAACAUGUUUUUAUCUGGAAGACUGAGAUCAGUAGCAGGACAUUUAAUGAUCAUGUUGCUUGUUGUG